Molecule: ribosomal RNA, 506 nt
Filed under: uncultured bacterium
Lineage: Bacteria
Description: partial 16S ribosomal RNA
Rfam family: Bacterial small subunit ribosomal RNA
Source: RNAcentral
AGUGAACGCUGGCGGUAGGCCUAACACAUGCAAGUCGAACGGCAGCACAGGAGAGCUUGCUCUCUGGGUGGCGAGUGGCGGACGGGUGAGGAAUACAUCGGAAUCUACUCUGUCGUGGGGGAUAACGUAGGGAAACUUACGCUAAUACCGCAUACGACCUACGGGUGAAAGCAGGGGAUCUUCGGACCUUGCGCGAUUGAAUGAGCCGAUGUCGGAUUAGCUAGUUGGGGGGGUAAAGGCCCACCAAGGCGACGAUCCGUAGCUGGUCUGGGAUGAUGAUCAGCACCACUGGAAAUUAGACACGGUCCAGACUCCUACGGGAGGCAGCAGUGGGGAAUAUUGGACAAUGGGCGCAAGCCUGAUCCAGCCAUACCGCGUGGGUGAAGAAGGCCUUCGGGUUGUAAAGCCCUUUUGUUGGGAAAGAAAUCCAGCUGGCUAGUACCCGGUUGGGAUGACGGUACCCAAAGAAUAAGCACCGGCUAACUUCGUGCCAGCAGCCGCCGUAA